Molecule: ribosomal RNA, 273 nt
Filed under: uncultured Blautia sp.
Lineage: Bacteria; Bacillati; Bacillota; Clostridia; Lachnospirales; Lachnospiraceae
Description: partial 16S ribosomal RNA
Rfam family: Bacterial small subunit ribosomal RNA
Source: RNAcentral
AUUCUUCGGAUGAAGAGGUUUGUGACUGAGUGGCGGACGGGUGAGUAACGCGUGGGUAACCUGCCUCAUACAGGGGGAUAACAGUUAGAAAUGACUGCUAAUACCGCAUAAGCGCACGGGACCGCAUGGUCCUGUGUGAAAAACUCCGGUGGUAUAAAAUGGACCCGCGUUGGAUUAACUAGUUGGCAGGGCAGCGGCCUACCAAGGCGACGAUCCAUAGCCGGCCUGAGAGGGUGAACAGCCACAUUGGGACUGAGACACGGCCCAGACUCC